GGAACAGGGAGGGCUCCCUAGCUAUAGGGCUAAAGAGAAUUCUGUGCUGGGGAGGGCACUGCUGCAGCUGGAAGAAAGGAGGCUCACUGGUGGACUGUGGUGGCUUUCCCCCUUGCCUCUUAAGAAGCAAUUUGUAACUAGCUUUCCUCCACCAUGUUCUCUCACUGCCAAAGCAAACUUGUCAAUAGAAGUCUGGUGUUUAGAUGCAAAAAAGAUGUACGUCUAAUUAAAUGUGAAGCUGGUUUGUGAGAAAGGAACGUAUUGAGAAGCCACUAAAGAGCAUCACACAGAGUGUAAAGAACUGGAAGCAAAUGUUUGAAGAAAAGAAACAGCGUGGUUAUUAUGACUUCAAGCCACAAACAUUGCGGUAGUGAAGCAAAUGGUCUCUCACACAAUGAAUGACAGGAGGCGGUAGAUGGAGGGACCUGUGGUGUCUGGUUGUGCAGCUCCUGCUGCACGGAUACUAUGGUUUUGCCCAACCUCAUUCUUAAACAUGGAGACAUCAGUGGCAAUGACCCCAGGACCCUGGCAGUCCAAGGAAAAAAGGGAACAGAUGUGUGGGCCGUGCACCUGGCUUGUGGCUAUGGCUGAUGAAGUUCAGUACUUCGGGAGCCACAAGCUGAGGGCUGUAUGCUGGUAGUUGUAUCUCCCAAUGCAGAGAAGCUGCUUCUGUCUUGUACUGCACCACAGGCAUGGUGCCUGCAAUGCAGGCUUAACCACAACAGAUUUUUUUUUCCUGUGGUCCAGAGGCUAAACCAGAGCUGCCAGUGGUUUUGCUGCAAAAAUGAUACUUGCCAGGCAGUAGAUUAGGCUGUGCUGCUGGGUUUGCACUCCUCCCUCCGCUUGUCAAGCUCUCUAGCUACAUUCUGCCGAGCUCCCACAAGCAUGGCCUGCUCCCCAUCCCUCAGCACCCUGGUCCUACCUCUGUAAUCACUGACUUUGUUUUAAAAAUUAGGUAUAAUCACGUUUAUCACCAAAUAAUGUGUGCACGUGACCAGUGAGGUCAAGACCAUAGUGAAGUUUCAAGAUAGUAAAAUUCUUGCUUUCAUGAACUUUCAGAACAUGCAGAAUUCAUUCAGAUUAUUGGAGGG
RNAcentral lists this long non-coding RNA (1091 nucleotides) under Numida meleagris (helmeted guineafowl). RNAcentral describes it as "lncRNA (ENSNMEG00000017699.1)". Lineage: Eukaryota; Metazoa; Chordata; Aves; Galliformes; Numididae. The record is from RNAcentral.